GUCGGAGUGGCCGAGCGGUCUAAGGCGCCAGACUCAAGAGUAAUCCUUCUGGGUGUUCUGGUCCACGAUGUGGGCGUGGGUUCGAAUCCCACCUCCGACA
RNAcentral lists this transfer RNA (100 nucleotides) under Schistosoma japonicum. It matches the Rfam family "tRNA". Rfam says of the family: Transfer RNA (tRNA) molecules are approximately 80 nucleotides in length. Their secondary structure includes four short double-helical elements and three loops (D, anti-codon, and T loops). Further hydrogen bonds mediate the characteristic L-shaped molecular structure. tRNAs have two regions of fundamental functional importance: the anti-codon, which is responsible for specific mRNA codon recognition, and the 3' end, to which the tRNAs corresponding amino acid is attached (by aminoacyl-tRNA synthetases). tRNAs cope with the degeneracy of the genetic code in two manners: having more than one tRNA (with a specific anti-codon) for a particular amino acid; and 'wobble' base-pairing, i.e. permitting non-standard base-pairing at the 3rd anti-codon position. The record is from Rfam by way of RNAcentral. Lineage: Eukaryota; Metazoa; Platyhelminthes; Trematoda; Strigeidida; Schistosomatidae.